ACAGCAAACUGAGCUGUUUUGAAAAUGAAAGUAAAACCUAAAUAAAAGCGAAAGCUUAAUAAGUAGAGCAUAUAGCUACUGUUUAAAAUGACUUGUGGGUAAUGCUGAACACAGUAACAUAGGUUUAGAUUGUUAGCAAAGGGACAUGCUGUCUUGAUUGCAUAUAGAAAUGCAGCACUUAGUGUGCUUAGCUUCUAAGGAUGAUAUUAUUUUCCUAAUGUUUUAAUUCUGAGAAUGUCUUGAAAAUACUAACAAACAUUUAGUUGUUUGAUUUCCAUUGUUUUCCCAUCUGUGCAAACGCUGCGUUUGUGCAGUGAACAAACUUCUGCUGCCAUGAGUCAACUUGGUGCUGUCCUGUGUGAUCCUGAACAUAUCUGCUGAUCCAUAAGCAGAAUGUAUAAGGGAUGCACUAGACUUUUGAGGGAUUUGUUCUACUGAGGAAAACCUGAAAGACUGCCAUCAAAACAACUUGCCUCCUCAGGUCUCAGGUGUACAAUUUCUGAGACAAUUAUCUUGAGAAACUGCAAUAAAACUACAUGAAUGCCUAUACAGAAGAGAUCAUGUAAAAAAGCUGUAUAAAUUAAAGAAAAAGAAUUAUUUCUCUCUUCACUGGAGUGGAACUGGAUGUUAUGUAAAAUAAAGAGGAUGAUUGUUUUCUAUGAGAAACAAGGGAAUGUUGACCAAGCACUGAGAAACCUUCAGGGCAAAUAAAGAAGCCUGCUAGGAACCGCAGAGAGGCUCCACAUUGGAGCUGGACACACUUAACAUCUGGCAACAAAAGCAUCCUGGGUAUUUCAGAGAUAAAGAAGAGCCAACUUCUGUCUACAGUGGAUUUGGGUGAAGUUUCAAGGUUGCAGACGAACAGAGGUCCACAAGAACACAUUGGUCUUCUUUAACAUUUUAAGGGGAUAUUUUUUGAUGUUUUCAAAUUAUUUUUUACUACAAAGCCCAGAGGCUUUGCUAUUUGCUCACAAACAUAUUCAGCACCCGGUUCAAAUGAAAAGGAACACAUAGUGACUUUAAGCAAAUCCUGCUUGGAGUGACCUGCAAUGCUGCAGCGUUCAACAGAAGUGGUGGGUGAGUGACCAAAUAGAACCGGGCACUAAUAAUGCUUAAUGGGCUGAGAUAGAGAGUGUUUGGCUAAUAAGUGUAUCAAUUUACCAAAUUUACAAAAAGUGGGUCAGUGGUUAAUUGGAGAAUUCAGAGGCCUGCCAAGUCUUGCAGUCCUACCAUGAAUCUUGUCCACUUGCUCCAGUGCCAACCUCAGGCAGGUAGUAGCUCAUAGAGCUUCCUUCACAGGCCACUUUGCCGUGUUCAGGGCUGGUGGUGGAUGUCAAGAGAUUAAUUUACCCAGCUGCCUCCUUCCUGCUGCCUCUAGCACCAGCAGUCACUGCCCCAGAACAACCUCUCACAAUAAAACAGGAGCUUUCAAGCUCAUGGAGAGGAUGUUCUUCUGUCUUCUGGAGUGGUUUUCUUAUUCUGUAUUUCUUCUCAGACUAAUUCUUUGCUAAUUUCUCAGCCUCUUACCCUUCUCAGCCCCUUCUAAAGUGGUUUUGUAUUUACCCCUGUCUUUAUGAGGCAGUUUGGAUAUCUCUGGAUCUGAAAUGCCCGUUGCAGUAGAUCUCUAACUCAAGGAAAAUUUUAAUUACUGUAAGAAAACCAUUUUUUCCUCCCUUUUGUAAUCCUGAGCUGAUCCAAACCACACAGUUUUUGGUCAUGAUUUUGAUGCCAGCUGGAAGGAGCGACAUAAGUGGAACUCUCUGUUUUCCACUACUGAAUAUAUCUAAAGGUAUAAAAACUGGCAAGCACUCCCAAGGAAUAUUUAAAACUAAAUAAAAUAGAGAAGAACCUUUAUUACCAUUCACGCCCCCCUGUCCUCUCCGUGUUAUAUUUAAUUUCACCAAAGGGAAAUUGUACAAAAGCGUAAUUAAACUGCAAAAGAAACAUGCUUACUAAAAUUUAAGAUAUUAUAUAGCAUUUUGACACAAUUGCAAUAACAAAUAAGAUAAGGCAUCUUGCUGCAUCUGGAAUAUUAAUCAAAAAACACUGAGAACUUAAAACUUUUAAAUUAGAUUAUGACUUAAAGACUGUACAAUACAGUUUUUAGGAAAUUAAAAGAAUAAUUUGGAGGUGUUUAUUAUUUUUUCUGAUUAUCACUAAGGUAAGAAGUAAGUUGAAAAUAAGAGGUCAUUACAAGGUGAGAUGGCUGCCGGGGUAGGUGACUUAAAAGGCUCUUCAAAAGCUCAGACCUACAGCACUAGCAGCCUGUCUCUGUGAGACAGUGCCGAAAGGACACAAAUAUAAUGAGGCACUUUUGACCAUGAGUCUUACAAAAUGCCUAGAUAAUCACUCUCUACCCCUACCAAUGCCCACAAGGAAGCUUGAGCAAGGGGAGCAACCAGGAGUUAUGGGCUGUGAUUAACCUGAGUGAUAACUUUGAGAUCCUUCAGCUAUGGAAGUUGGAGGGGUUUUGUAUUUUGCUACUUUCAUCUAUGUUGGGCUGAGCAACUAUGCAGAGCGAGACAUCCUCUGUUUAGAGGAUAUAUAGACAAACAAGUCUAAUGUCAGCUCAGAAACAUGGGCCAUCAGGAUCAAGAAUAGCGACUAAGAUCCAGACCUGAACUACUAACUGCAGUAUUUGAGGAGUGAUGAGCCAGCUGGGUUAAAAUAUCGUUAGUAUAUUUUACAAUAACAAUUUGGAUAUUGAUUAAACCCCAUAGUUUAGAUUGCCUCAGGUUUGCUUCGAGCUGUUAUACUGUUACCUGGCAGCCUCUUAACUGCGGAUAAAGGAAAAUUACUUAUACUGUCAAUAGCUGUUUACCUAUAUUAAAAUAAUUAGCAAUUGGAGUGUACUCUAUUGCUUUGCACAUAGGGAGUCUCAUUAACUUUCUCCUUUGGAUUUAUACACUUACUAACAAAUAAAUGGAAAGCCAUCUCAUCUUCCAUCAUGGGAAUGUGUCUGUCUUCAUUUUGGAAAGGCAAGUACCGGUUUAAACAAGCACAGGCUUCAUGUCAGAGAUUUGUCAUUGUUUCUUUUCAGUGCAUCAUAGCAUUACGCUGCCUUAUUCAACACAAAGCAUUAUUCAACAUGUUACGCUGAGUGAUGCACUGCAAUGACAAAGUGUUAAACUCCAUUAAAAAUUUAAAAGACAUACGGCUAUUUUCAUCUGGGAAGGCUGCUGCUGAUUCAUCUGCAGCCCUUCCCAGCUGAGGUGAGGUAGCAGCCAUAUCUCUCAAGCUAUUACAAAUUACCAGAGAACCAUCCUUCCGUUCAACUUCCAGCAACAGAAGCUGGAAAGUAAAAUUGCUUCAUAAAAAGACGAAGUCCAGUGUUCUUUUUUUGCUACUUAAUAUAUUACUAGAAUGAAAUAGCAUGACUUUCCUAUUAUUUGCAGAUGAUAGCCAGAGGUUUUAGUACACUGGGUAUCAUUACGAUUGCAGACAUUAUUUUACCCUGAAAAUACACGAACAUGCUUACCUCCUUCUGCAGUGGGAGGCUUCCAACUAAUUCUGUAGCAGUUUCUGCUCAUCUGCUUGGGGCUUGGCGAAGCUAGUGUCUGCCUGCAGAGAGCAGAGCCAGGGUUACAAAUGGGCAUUGAAGACUGAGAAUAAGAAAAUGUCAUCCAUAGCAACAAUCAUCCAUAGUCAUGUUAUCACUUUGGAAGAUAUAAUUUCCACCAGGUUUAAUUUUGAAUGGCUGUAGAGACUAGGCAUGGCCUGUUAAUGGUGUCACAUAGUGUUGCAAAAGUAUCACAAGCUGGUGGGCUUCAGUAAAUUGCAAAGAAACGUUGGCUUCACCUGCCCCCCACAAUGUUCAAUCCAUUGCCUGGAACAUUUUCCCUCACAUGGUUGCUGCAACUUUUCUGAUGGCAUUGAGUCCAUAUUUGUGUAGAAUUUAAUAGCUGUGCUCUUCACUGACAAAUUGAAUCCAUUCUUUAUAUGUUAAUCGUAAUAAUCACAUGAACAAAAGGACAAGAAAGAAGAGGAUGAUGACAGAAAGCUCAAGGAAUAUGGCAUAGUUGCUCAUGACUAGACUGACUAUCUCUGAGUGACAAUUACAUCCUUUAUUUGUUUUUAAGGAAACUGCAAUUUAACUUUAGAAAUGCAGACACUUAUGCUUUUACGUUGGGCACAGCACAUAAAACAUAAACACAGACAGAUCAUAAGAUCCGUGUAAAGUUGGGAACUGAAGGGAAAGGCCCAAAAAGUAGUGGCUUGCCCCCAAGGAAACAAGUAGCCUGAAGGGACCCAGUAUCACAAGGAAUUAUGGAUUCUCUGACACAAAUAAACCCAAUAUCAUGAAUCAAUAUAGGAAAAAGGAGGGUAAAGAAUAAGUCUGGAAGAAAAAAAGCCCAUAGGAAAAAUAAAGAUGGAAAAGCUUUUUUUUUUUGGUUUGAUUUGGACAGCUUAUGAGAGACGAUGAAACAUAUUACCAGGAAUAAUGUCUGAAAACUGUAUAAACUAGUAAGAAUGUUUUAUAGGUGACACCAAUUAUAUUGAAGAGAGACCGUUUUCUUAAUCAGAAAUAGAAGAAACAAAGCAAAACAGUGAAUUGAUGUUACAGAUCUGAGCACUUCGACAUUCUCAAACAGUUAUAAAUAGGCUGUUUAAAUAGGGUAGUUUGUGGGACACGUAAUUCCAGCUGACAUGAGGAAUUGUUGAAAAACAAGAGGAAACCUGUCUGCGUGCUGCUUGUUAGAGUAACGGUUUGUGACUGCACUCAGAAACAAUUCUCCUAAAGAUCCAGUCUCCUGUUACAAAGAGCACAACAACAGAUUUUUGACUAUGAUGGGGAACAUCAGAGGUGAUUAGAAAUAAUGGUAAGCAAAUACUAAUCCAUUGUCACAAUGAAUUUAUGUGCAAAGGAUCUAAGAAUAAGUACGAAAUAAUGCCUAAUGCAGA
Molecule: long non-coding RNA, 4902 nt
Organism: Cuculus canorus (common cuckoo)
Lineage: Eukaryota; Metazoa; Chordata; Aves; Cuculiformes; Cuculidae
Exons: 5
Source: RefSeq, a predicted model, not a curated record